Molecule: ribosomal RNA, 239 nt
Filed under: uncultured bacterium
Lineage: Bacteria
Description: partial 16S ribosomal RNA
Rfam family: Bacterial small subunit ribosomal RNA
Source: RNAcentral
CCGGCACGGGUGGAGUAACGCGUAUGCAACUUGCCUAUCAGAGGGGGAGUAUCCGGCGAAAGUCGGACUAAUACCGCAUGAAGCAGGGGCCCCGCAUGGGGAUAUUUGCUAAAGAUUCAUCGCUGAUAGAUAGGCAUGCGUUCCAUUAGGCAGUUGGCGGGGUAACGGCCCACCAAACCGACGAUGGAUAGGGGUUCUGAGAGGAAGGUCCCCCACAUUGGUACUGAGACACGGACCAA